GCUAAUACCGCAUAACGCCUACGGGCCAAAGAGGGGGACCUUCGGGCCUCUCGCGUCAAGAUAUGCCUAGGUGGGAUUAGCUAGUUGGUGAGGUAAUGGCUCACCAAGGCGACGAUCCCUAGCUGGUCUGAGAGGAUGAUCAGCCACACUGGAACUGAGACACGGUCCAGACUCCUACGGGAGGCAGCAGUGGGGAAUAUUGCACAAUGGGCGAAAGCCUGAUGCAGCCAUGCCGCGUGUAUGAAGAAGGCCUUCGGGUUGUAAAGUACUUUCAGUUGUGAGGAAGGGGGUGUCGUUAAUAGCGGCAUCUCUUGACGUUAGCAACAGAAGAAACACCGGCUAACUCCGUGCCAGCAGCCGCGGUAAUACGGAGGGUGCGAGCGUUAAUCGGAAUUACUGGGCGUAAAGCGCAUGCAGGUGGUUCAUUAAGUCAGAUGUGAAAGCCCGGGGCUCAACCUCGGAACUGCAUUUGAAACUGGUGAACUAGAGUACUGUAGAGGGGGGUAGAAUUUCAGGUGUAGCGGUGUAAUGCGUAGAGAUCUGAAGGAAUACCAGUGGCGAAGGCGGCCCCCUGGA
RNAcentral lists this ribosomal RNA (576 nucleotides) under uncultured Vibrio sp. Its description in RNAcentral is "bacterial SSU rRNA". It matches the Rfam family "Bacterial small subunit ribosomal RNA", at positions 162 to 733 of the family's 1533-position model. The record is from RNAcentral. Lineage: Bacteria; Pseudomonadati; Pseudomonadota; Gammaproteobacteria; Vibrionales; Vibrionaceae.